CCCACUCUGCGAUCCACUUGGGCUAAAGAUGCUUUCGGGAAACGGGGCUCAGCAGUCUUCUAGAGUCUUAGUCAGUGAUGUGUAUUCAGUAAAAAUUGUUUAAAAUGGAGCCGCCCCAGAGCAGACGAAGAAAAGACUGAAAAAAUAAAUAAAGAUGAAGUUAAAAGAAAUACAUAAAUACUAAUAAACAACCAGGCAGAAAACAGAUAAACAAACACACAUGAAACAGCGACUCUAGAAACAGCGCCCCAGUCCAAAUGAAAUCAUAUUUACACAUGGAGGACCAGAGAACAGACUUAUGUUAGCAACUACACACAGAAAUAGAGAUCAAGACGAGAACAUGAAUGAGAUAAGACGGUUAUGUCUAUAAUGUUGUAAACCUCUUGACCCUGUGUUUUAUUUAAUUGAAUUGUUCAGCGUUAGGAUGCAGAACCAAAGGCAGGUUGAGGUUUAAACACUUUUGACUGCAAGAAGAGAUGAAGAAACAACGUAGGAUAUUUCACAAACACAUCAAAGUCAUCCGGGUUGGAUGACUUUCCAAGGUAAUGACCAAGAGAGUUGUUUAUCUGUGUAAUUCAAUUCAAUUCAAAGUGUUUAUUGUCAUAUGCAUAAAUGAGACGUUCUCAGUUGUGCAAUGAAAUUCUUCCUUUGUUUCCACAGACUGAAUGCCAAGAUUUUUUUUUACAAGAUAGAUAGAACAAAUAAUACAUUUAAGUUAAAAUAAAUAAAUAAUGGUGUUGUAAUAAUUACUUGGAAGCCAGUUCCCAGGCAUAUUGCCCAGUAACUAGUCUGGGUGGUUAUCCCCUUGCCAUGACGUCUUCCCUGAGGUUGAAUAUAAAAGCAGGGGCCCCAAGAGCAGUAACCUCACCAACGAUUCCCUUUGCUGCAGAAGAACAGAACCAGUGAAGAUCAACCUUCUAGACAUGGCUCAAGUGAACUUUAAACUGGUGGUGACUGCUGAUGGCAAGAGUAUUGAAUACAAACCUACUACGGACUGCAACCAGAUACUCCUGUGGGCAUUGACAGAUUUGAAAGAUUCCGUCUCAAACUUCAGUUUCGAAUGUGGAAGCAAAUUUGGAAUGCCACCCUAUUUGACCCGGGUGACUUUUGGUAAUAAUAUUAUUACCAAAACUGAGAACAGCUUCUGGCAAGUUCUGGUCAAAAACCACAACAUGAUCACACCUGUUGGACUCUGCAACUACCGUGUCCAGGACAGUGACGUGAUCAUCCUGCGCCACAUGACCGUGUGAUCCUGACUGUGGCGCCAUCUUCCUUCAGGGUCCUGAAUAACACUGAGUGCUGCUCGACACUCAUUAAACAUGAUGAUCAUCUAAUCUGAAGAUAUCAAAUGUAAAAAUGUGUUUAAUUCAACAAAUGUAGAAAUGAUUUGGAAGUGAAUCAUAUAAAUUGGAAUAAAGGAUUGAAAUUAUCUCAUGCGUAUCAUUUCACUGUUUUUGCACACACUCACUCACAGUAACCAGCCCUCACUUCCUACCGUCCUAUCUCUUGGAUGUACACAAAAACAGAUCUUCACGUAUAUUUAUAUAGUUAUGAAGUUAUUAACAUGGUUCUUUAUAGUUAUUAUUAAUACAGAUAUAGAUAAUUAGCAUUAAUAUAGUUCCGUUUACAUUAAACUGCCUCCAUAAUAGAUUUUUUUCUUAAAAUAAGAUUUGUAAACGAAAUAGUACAAAACAUUACAUUUAAUUGAAUGUAUUCAUUUUUAACCAAACAGUAGAGGUUCAUUACCAUUUGAAAGCUGUGCAAAGAAUUUAUAUAUACAGAGAAAUGUCACAUAAUGCACAUAAAUCUUGUGUAUUCAAGGGUGUGUUUGUUUGUUUCUAUGCAGUGUGUGUGUGUGUGUGUGUGUGUGUGUGUGUGUGUGUGUGUGUGCGUGCUUUGGAAUGAAUAAGCAUGUGUUUUUGUGUGCGUGGUAUAUAGGAGUGUGUGUGUGUGUUAUAGGUUUUGUGUGUCUCACAAAAACAUGGGUGUUGCAACUUACUUCGGCUUUACUUUUGCUCACAAUUGCUUUGAAAGGCCUUGCCAGACCAUUGCAUAAUAGGAACUAUCAUCCGAUAUGUCUUUCGUCCUUCUACGUUAAGAUAUGUCUUUUGUCCCUCUACGUUAAUGUUUGCAGAUAGCGAGAAAAGAAAGUGUCGGAAAGAGAAUAUACGCUGUAUGCAAGAGUGCUCACCAAUACUUACCCUUCAUGCAGCAGUUGUCCAAUCAACCGCUGCAGUGUGUAAACUGUGUGACGACCUGGCUCCAGUGGUUAUCACGCAGGUUGCCGCAGGUGUUGAUGUCGUCCGUCAGAAUGGCCUCCUCAGCUCUGCUCUCGUUUCUCCUGCUGCUCUCUCUCUCAGGGAUGCUCGCCCAAAGUAAGCCUUGAAACGACUCCACACACAUUCAGACCUCCCUCCCCCCACCCGUUGGGUUCAAUGUGACAAUAGGUCAUUUUAGUUUUGUCUUUACGUGUUUUUGUCCUUAGUACCUGAAUAGUGACUGUGACUCAUUGUUUAGGACUUGAAGACCUUUAGAACUGUUUUCUAAAGGGUCGCCAGGUUUUGAGUUGAGUUGAGCAUUAUCGUACUUUCUUUGGAAACCUCACUGAACAUAAACAAAGUAGCCACUCCUUGUCCACAACAUGACACCGUUCUAUGGUGAGUUUGGUCUUCAAUGAUCCACCAACUGUGACCAGAUGGAGGCCAGCUGCCCUUCAACCUGGUGGUGGUGGACGACCUACCCAACAGCAAACCAAUGAUGUACUCCGCACAGAGGCCUUCUGAACGGGCCCAUGAUCAGGCUCGCAAGGUCAGCCCACUCACAAAUCAUGAUUGUUUUGGAAGCCUCACUGAACACACAACAUAGAACCCACUCCUUGUCCACAACAUGGCGCUGUUCUGUGGUGAGUUUUACUUUCCAAAUGAAAAACAAUCGUUCAGUUAAAAAAAUAUAUAUUAAGUCACUUCUUGCUAUGGAUCUUAACUAAAACUCCCUGCUGAGAGACUUGACUUGGACUCCCUGCUGACUGACUCCCUUCAGAUACUGGAAAGCAAACAUUUAUUUUACGA
This is a long non-coding RNA of Gadus morhua (Atlantic cod), 3068 nucleotides long. The record is from Ensembl. NCBI's taxonomy places the organism in Eukaryota, Metazoa, Chordata, Actinopteri, Gadiformes, Gadidae.